RNAcentral lists this ribosomal RNA (438 nucleotides) under Neriene japonica. RNAcentral's name for it is "partial 16S ribosomal RNA". The stretch from base 196 to 438 matches the Rfam family "Bacterial large subunit ribosomal RNA", at positions 2079 to 2597 of the family's 2925-position model. Lineage: Eukaryota; Metazoa; Arthropoda; Arachnida; Araneae; Linyphiidae. The record is from RNAcentral.
UUCUUAAUAAAAUUAUUUUAAGUAAAAUCUGCUCCAGGUAUUAUAAAUAGCCGCAGUAAUUUCACUGGUGCUAAGGUAGCAUAAUCAUUAGCCUUUUAAUUAAAGGAUAGAAUGAAAGAUUUAACAAUUUUAUUUUUUUUUUUUAAAAAUAAUUUAAUUUUAACUAAAUAUUAAAAUGUAUUUAUUAAUAAAAAAGACGAUAAGACCCUAUUGAACUUUACUAAAGUUUAGCUGGGGAAGCUCGUUAAAAACAAUUUUAACCUUUCUAUUUAUUAAAAUAUCCAAUUUAAUUGAUUUUAAAAGUUACCAUAGGGAUAACAGCGUAAUAUUUUUUAAAAGUUCUUAUUAAAAAAAAAAGUUUGCGACCCCGAUGUUGAAUUAAUUUUACUUUAACACGCAAUUGUAUUAAAAGUAGGUCUGUUCGACCUUUAAAUAGUU